AUGGAUUCCAUGUUAGCUGACUUAGCUAGUAACAAACCACCAUCAACUGAUGAGCCACCAAUUGCAUCUGCUCAGGCUUUCUAUAGAAUGGUUGCUAGUGCAGAUGAGUUAGGACAUGAAAAAACUUUGCACUCGGCUUUGUCAACUAUAGCUCGCCUGCUUACCAUAAAGUCACAACACAAUCUGUCGGUAGCCUGCUAUGAUGAUAUAGUAAAAUUAAUGCAUGAACUCCUACCACCAGAUUGUAAGUUGCCCAAAGACUUCUACCGCUCCAAAAAAAUGUUAAAGGGCCUUGGUAUGCCAUAUCACAAAAUUGAUGUCUGCUAUAAUAAUUGCAUGUUGUAUUAUAAAGAUAACAGUGAGAAAGAACAAUGUGAUGUUUGUGAUACCUCCCGCUACAAAGAUGGUCCAGGAAAAAUUCCCCACAAAGUGCUACGCUACCUACCCAUAAUGGAUAGGUUUCAGAGGUUGUAUGCACACGAAAAGACAGCCAAAUUGAUGCGUUCACAUAGUGAAGCUCCCCUCUCGAGCUCUAGCAAAAUUCUGCAUCCAUGUCAUGGAGAUGCAUGGUAA
This 573-nucleotide ribosomal RNA is filed under the name Triticum aestivum (bread wheat). RNAcentral's name for it is "partial small subunit ribosomal RNA". Lineage: Eukaryota; Viridiplantae; Streptophyta; Magnoliopsida; Poales; Poaceae. The record is from RNAcentral.